GUCGAGAAUCUUUCACAAUGGGGGCAACCCUGAUGGAGCGACGCCGCGUGGAGGAUAAGGUCUUCGGAUUGUAAACUCCUGUCAUGCGUGAACAAGGUUGCUUGGAUAAUACCUGAGCAAAUUGAUGGUAGCGCAAGAGGAAGAGACGGCUAACUCUGUGCCAGCAGCCGCGGUAAUACAGAGGUCUCAAGCGUUGUUCGGAAUCACUGGGCGUAAAGGGUGCGUAGGUGGCGUGGCAAGUCAGAUGUGAAAGCCCGGGGCUCAACCUCGGAACUGCAUCCGAUACUGCCAUGCUAGAGUACUGGAGGGGUGACUAGAAUUCUCGGUGUAGCAGUGAAAUGCGUAGAUAUCGAGAGGAAUACCAAAGGCGUAGGCAGGUCACUGGACAGUUACUGACACUGAGGCACGAAGGCCAGGGGAGCGAACGGGAUUAGAAACCCUAGUAGUCC
This 449-nucleotide ribosomal RNA is filed under the name uncultured bacterium. RNAcentral describes it as "bacterial SSU rRNA". It matches the Rfam family "Bacterial small subunit ribosomal RNA", at positions 354 to 796 of the family's 1533-position model. The record is from RNAcentral.